Molecule: ribosomal RNA, 447 nt
Filed under: uncultured bacterium
Lineage: Bacteria
Description: bacterial SSU rRNA
Rfam family: Bacterial small subunit ribosomal RNA
Source: RNAcentral
UGGGGAAUAUUGGACAAUGGGCGAAAGCCUGGUCCAGCAAUGCCGCGUGAGUGAUGAAGGCCUUAGGGUUGUAAAGCUCUUUUACCAGGGAUGAUAAUGACAGUACCUGGAGAAUAAGCUCCGGCUAACUCCGUGCCAGCAGCCGCGGUAAUACGGAGGGAGCUAGCGUUGUUCGGAAUUACUGGGCGUAAAGCGCGCGUAGGCGGCGAUUCAAGUCAGAGGUGAAAGCCCGGGGCUCAACCCCGGAACUGCCUUUGAAACUAGAUUGCUAGAAUCUUGGAGAGGUCAGUGGAAUUCCGAGUGUAUAGGUGAAAUUCGUAGAUAUUCGGAAGAACACCAGUGGCGAAGGCGGCUCACUGGACGUGUAUUGACGCUGAGGUACGAAAGCGUGGGGAGCAAACAGGAUUAGAUACCCCUGUAGUCCCUGAGCGGGCUGGCAAGGCGCAU